GGCGAACGCUGGCGGCGUGCUUAACACAUGCAAGUCGAACGGAAAGGCCCUGCUUUUGCGGGGUGCUCGAGUGGCGAACGGGUGAGUAACACGUGAGUAACCUGCCCUUGACUUUGGGAUAACUUCAGGAAACUGGGGCUAAUACCGGAUAGGAGCUCCUGCUGCAUGGUGGGGGUUGGAAAGUUUCGGCGGUUGGGGAUGGACUCGCGGCUUAUCAGCUUGUUGGUGGGGUAGUGGCUUACCAAGGCUUUGACGGGUAGCCGGCCUGAGAGGGUGACCGGCCACAUUGGGACUGAGAUACGACCCAGACUCCUACGGGAGGCAGCAGUGGGGAAUAUUGCACAAUGGGCGGAAGCCUGAUGCAGCAACGCCGCGUGCGGGAUGACGGCCUUCGGGUUGUAAACCGCUUUCGCCUGUGACGAAGCGUGAGUGACGGUAAUGGGUAAAGAAGCACCGGCUAACUACGUG
This 468-nucleotide ribosomal RNA is filed under the name uncultured bacterium. Its description in RNAcentral is "partial 16S ribosomal RNA". It matches the Rfam family "Bacterial small subunit ribosomal RNA", at positions 28 to 507 of the family's 1533-position model. The record is from RNAcentral.